CCUACGGGAGGCAGCAGUGGGGAAUUUUGGACAAUGGGCGCAAGCCUGAUCCAGCAAUGCCGCGUGGGUGAAGAAGGCCUUCGGGUUGUAAAGCUCUUUUGUCAGGGAAGAAACGGCUGAGGUUAAUACCUUCGGCUAAUGACGGUACCUGAAGAAUAAGCACCGGCUAACUACGUGCCAGCAGCCGCGGUAAUACGUAGGGUGCAAGCGUUAAUCGGAAUUACUGGGCGUAAAGCGUGCGCAGGCGGUUUUGUAAGUCUGACGUGAAAUCCCCGGGCUCAACCUGGGAAUUGCGUUGGAGACUGCAAGGCUGGAGUCUGGCAGAGGGGGGUAGAAUUCCACGUGUAGCAGUGAAAUGCGUAGAGAUGUGGAGGAACACCGAUGGCGAAGGCAGCCCCCUGGGUCAAGACUGACGCUCAUGCACGAAAGCGUGGGGAGCAAACAGGAUUAGAUACCCUGGUAGUCCACGCCCUAAACGAUGUCUACUAGUUGUCGGGUCUUAAUUGACUUGGUAACGCAGCUAACGCGUGAAGUAGACCGCCUGGGGAGUACGGUCGCAAGAUUAAAACUCAAAUGAAAUUGACGG
RNAcentral lists this ribosomal RNA (586 nucleotides) under uncultured bacterium. RNAcentral's name for it is "bacterial SSU rRNA". It matches the Rfam family "Bacterial small subunit ribosomal RNA", at positions 338 to 916 of the family's 1533-position model. The record is from RNAcentral.